CCUGUACUGAGGAACUAAAGAAUUCCACGGGAUCUGAAAACUGUACUUGCGAGUCAGGCUUUGAACUCAUAAAUGGAUCCUGCACAGAUUUUGAUGAAUGUCUGGUUGGUGUAGACCAGUGUCCAUCUGAUAUAGCUAUGUGCAAAAACCUACAAGGAGAUUAUAAUUGUACUUGCCAUUCUGGAUACGAAAACAUGUCACCGAAAGAGUGUCGAGACAUCAACGAAUGUGAACGUGAAUUGGAUAAUUGCAACAAGACUGAAUUCAACUGUGUGAACACACUUGGUAACUUCUCUUGCGUAUGUAAGGAAAAUACAACAGAAGUCGAUGGAGUUUGU
This is a long non-coding RNA of Lytechinus variegatus (green sea urchin), 338 nucleotides long. RefSeq lists it as uncharacterized. Lineage: Eukaryota; Metazoa; Echinodermata; Echinoidea; Temnopleuroida; Toxopneustidae. The record is from RefSeq and is a predicted model, not a curated record. The transcript has 3 exons.